Molecule: ribosomal RNA, 586 nt
Filed under: Vermamoeba vermiformis
Lineage: Eukaryota; Tubulinea; Echinamoebida; Vermamoebidae
Description: SSU rRNA
Rfam family: Eukaryotic small subunit ribosomal RNA
Source: RNAcentral
GUUGCAGUUAAAGCUCGUAGUUGGAUUUCGGAAGGUCCUUAGUAAUCCGCCCCUUCGGGGAGCGGGUUACUGGCCUCCUAUGUUCCUAACGGUCCUCAUCCGCGAGGGUGGGGAAUCAACCGCUAGGAUCGUUUACUUUGAGGAAAUUAGAGUGUUCAAAGCAGGCGUAACUCGCCUCCGAAUACGUUAGCAUGGGAUAAUGGAAUACGACUUCGGUCUUGUUUCGUUGGUUUCGCUUGGCUGAAGUAAUGAUUGAUAGGGACAGUUGGGGGCAUUAGUAUUUAGUUGUCAGAGGUGAAAUUCUAGGAUUUACUAAAGACUGACCAAUGCGAAAGCAUUUGCCAAGGAUGUUUUCAUUAAUCAAGAACGAAAGUAGGGGGAUCGAAGACGAUCAGAUACCGUCGUAGUCUCUACCGUAAACUAUGCCGACCAGGGAUCCGGAGAGUUUGCAUGGAUGACUCCCCGGGCACCUUGUGAGAAAUCAUAAGUGUUUGGGUUUUGGGGGGAGUAUGGUCGCAAGGCUGAAACUUAAAGGAAUUGACGGAAGGGCACCACCAGGAGUGGAACCUGCGGCUUAAUUUGACUC